UGAGGAAUUUUCCGCAAUGGGCGCAAGCCUGACGGAGCGACGCCGCGUGAGGGAUGAAGGCUUUCGGGUUGUAAACCUCUUUUGCAGGGGAAAAAGGUGCAUGUAUUCAUACCACAUGUAUUUGAUGGUACUUUGCGAAUAAGCCCCGGCUAACUACGUGCCAGCAGCCGCGGUAAUACGUAGGGGGCGAGCGUUGUCCGGAGUUACUGGGCGUAAAGGGCGUGUAGGCGGUUGGAUAAGUCUGAUGUGAAAUGCCAUGGCUCAACUGUGGCGCUGCGUUGGAAACUGUCUGACUGGAGUUCGGUAGGGGUCACUGGAAUCCCCGGUGUAACGGUGAAAUGUGUAGAUAUCGGGGGGAACACCUGUGGCGAAGGCGGGUGACUGGGCCGUAACUGACGCUGAGACGCGAAAGCGUGGGGAGCAAACAGG
This 429-nucleotide ribosomal RNA is filed under the name uncultured bacterium. RNAcentral's name for it is "bacterial SSU rRNA". It matches the Rfam family "Bacterial small subunit ribosomal RNA", at positions 355 to 776 of the family's 1533-position model. The record is from RNAcentral.